Molecule: long non-coding RNA, 678 nt
Organism: Monopterus albus (swamp eel)
Lineage: Eukaryota; Metazoa; Chordata; Actinopteri; Synbranchiformes; Synbranchidae
Exons: 4
Source: RefSeq, a predicted model, not a curated record
UGUUUGAGGGGCUAACAUUUAACGUGACUUUGCAGCGCUGCGGUUAAAAUGUUGUUGACUAGUCACGUUCAGUAUUUAGCAGACAGUUUGGAGUUAUACUACUACUUGUAAAGUUUAUGGAUUUGGUAGCAGCGGUAACGUGAAAUUAGCAAAGUUUCGGACGACUUCUGACUGGGGUGGUAAAGCUAGCUACACUGCUAACGAAGCGCCGUGGACAUGCUAACAGCAGUAGAGCAAACGCCAGAAACGUCACUGCCCCUCUGGCAGCAAGGAAGACUGCACUUUUCUCUGGAGCUCUUUCCUAGAAACCAACAGUUUCAACGAACUAUGAGAAACGUAACAGUUCUGUGUUCUGAUGGGUCCUCAUAGAGCCGACUUUGCUACAAUCCCGCUGCUGUCACAACCUGUCUCACAUGUACUGUGUUCAGCGCCCCGUAUAGAGAGCUCCUGAAACACGACUCUGGGAGUGACAGCAAAGAAAAGAAAGAGAUUUAAAGGUCAACAGAUCAAAAUAUUGUUCCCGAAAGCUCAGAGGCUUUCCAUCUGGUCUUCCCCUACUCGGGAUGCGCUGUGAUAACGUUUAAGAGUGGGUGACUUCGAUGUGAAGAGUCUCAUCACCUACACCUUUCUGCCAUUAAAAAGUAAGAGAAUAGCUUUCAUGGGACCCUGACGUUCUGG